GACGAACGCUGGCGGCGUGCUUAACACAUGCAAGUCGAACGGACAGGCCCUGCUUUUGUUGGUUGCUCGAGUGGCGAACGGGUGAGUAACACGUGAGUAACCUGCCCUUGACUUUGGGAUAACUUCAGGAAACUGGGGCUAAUACCGGAUAGGAGCUCCUGCUGCAUGGUGGGGGUUGGAAAGUUUCGGCGGUUGGGGAUGGACUCGCGGCUUAUCCGCUUGUUGGUGGGGUAGUGGCUUACCAAGGCUUUGACGGGUAGCCGGCCUGAGAGGGUGACCGGGCACAUUGGGACUGCGAUACGGACCAGACGCCUACGGGAGGCAGUAGUGGGGAAUUUUGCAGAAUGGGCGGAAGCCUGAUGCAGCAACGCCGCGUGCGGGAUGAUGGCCUUCGGGUUGUAAACCGCUGUCGCCUGUGACGAAGCGUGAGUGACGGUAAUGGGUAAAGAAGCACCGGCUAACUACGUG
Molecule: ribosomal RNA, 468 nt
Filed under: uncultured bacterium
Lineage: Bacteria
Description: partial 16S ribosomal RNA
Rfam family: Bacterial small subunit ribosomal RNA
Source: RNAcentral